GACAGAGGGUGCAAACGUUGUUCGGAAUUACUGGGCGUAAAGCGUGUGUAGGCGGCUUUGCAAGUCGGAUGUGAAAUCCCCGGGCUCAACCCGGGAAGUGCACCCGAAACUGCAGGGCUCGAGUACCGGAGAGGUUGGUGGAAUUCUCGGUGUAGAGGUGAAAUUCGUAGAUAUCGAGAGGAACACCGGUGGCGAAGGCGGCCAACUGGACGAGUACUGACGCUGAGACACGAAAGCGUGGGGAGCAAACAGG
RNAcentral lists this non-coding RNA (253 nucleotides) under uncultured bacterium. Its description in RNAcentral is "partial 16S ribosomal RNA". It matches the Rfam family "Bacterial small subunit ribosomal RNA", at positions 524 to 776 of the family's 1533-position model. The record is from RNAcentral. RNAcentral also lists the same sequence under 1 other name.